GCCCCUGUGGCGGAAUUGGUAGACGCAGCAGACUCAAAAUCUGCCGUUUUCUGGAACGUGGGAGUUCGAGUCUCCCCGGGGGCACCA
RNAcentral lists this transfer RNA (87 nucleotides) under Holosporales bacterium. Its description in RNAcentral is "tRNA-Leu". It matches the Rfam family "tRNA". Rfam says of the family: Transfer RNA (tRNA) molecules are approximately 80 nucleotides in length. Their secondary structure includes four short double-helical elements and three loops (D, anti-codon, and T loops). The record is from RNAcentral. Lineage: Bacteria; Pseudomonadati; Pseudomonadota; Alphaproteobacteria; Holosporales.